GACGAACCGUGCGAACGUUGUUCGGAAUCACUGGGCUUAAAGGGCGCGUAGGCGGGCCGCCGCGUCCGGGGUGAAAUCCUCCCGCUCAACGGGAGAACGGCCUCGGAUACGGGCGGCCUGGAGGCGGGUAGGGGCACGCGGAACUGUGGGUGGAGCGGUGAAAUGCGCAGAUAUCAGGAAGAACACCCGUGGCUAAGGCGGCUCUCUAGUACGUGACUGACGCUGAGACGCGAAAGCGUGGGGAGCGAACAGG
RNAcentral lists this ribosomal RNA (253 nucleotides) under uncultured bacterium. Its description in RNAcentral is "partial 16S ribosomal RNA". It matches the Rfam family "Bacterial small subunit ribosomal RNA", at positions 524 to 776 of the family's 1533-position model. The record is from RNAcentral.